Molecule: ribosomal RNA, 107 nt
Filed under: Plasmodium vivax (malaria parasite P. vivax)
Lineage: Eukaryota; Apicomplexa; Aconoidasida; Haemosporida; Plasmodiidae
Description: rRNA PVP01_MIT00800
Source: RNAcentral
UGGCUGCUGGAAGUAGAAAUCGUUAUUAAACGUCAGGAAGUCCUGGACGUUGAAUCCAAUAGCGUAGAUUUUAAAAACAUCGAUAUACGGAUUUCUCCUGAAAAAAC